GUUGAAACACCGUUCCCCGUAUGAUCACCGAAGGUAAGCAACGUAUAGCCUAGUCAGUAGCAAGAUGAGUGACCGCUUGGGAAUACCAGACGC
Non-coding RNA from Acanthosepion pharaonis, 93 nucleotides. NCBI's taxonomy places the organism in Eukaryota, Metazoa, Mollusca, Cephalopoda, Sepiida, Sepiidae. The record is from the annotation of a GenBank genome assembly.